UAGACUGUAGUUUCAGAGACCAUUUCUAGAGUACACUACUGGAGAAGUUUCUCUGAUUGUGUACAGCACCCAGAACCAUGAGGAGGAGCCAGAGAGAGAAUCCUCCCCUGAGCCUGAGGCCAGUUCUAGGUGCUGCUUUUGCAACUGCAUUUUACCAUUGAUGAUCCUUCUUCUCUUCCUUUGGAAGAGGGGUAGGGGGAGGGUGCAGUCUGAGUGG
RNAcentral lists this small nucleolar RNA (217 nucleotides) under Sorex araneus (European shrew). RNAcentral describes it as "Small nucleolar RNA U3 (ENSSARG00000015820.1)". It matches the Rfam family "Small nucleolar RNA U3". From Rfam's summary of the family: Small nucleolar RNAs (snoRNAs) are involved in the processing and modification of rRNA in the nucleolus. There are two main classes of snoRNAs: the box C/D class, and the box H/ACA class. U3 snoRNA is a member of the box C/D class. The record is from RNAcentral. Lineage: Eukaryota; Metazoa; Chordata; Mammalia; Eulipotyphla; Soricidae.